This 27-nucleotide small RNA is filed under the name Bombyx mori (domestic silkworm). Its description in RNAcentral is "ovarian small RNA-30323". The record is from RNAcentral. Lineage: Eukaryota; Metazoa; Arthropoda; Insecta; Lepidoptera; Bombycidae.
UGAAAACGGCAGCUGGCUGGGGAUUGG